Molecule: ribosomal RNA, 468 nt
Filed under: uncultured bacterium
Lineage: Bacteria
Description: partial 16S ribosomal RNA
Rfam family: Bacterial small subunit ribosomal RNA
Source: RNAcentral
GAUGAACGCUGGCGGCGUGCUUAAUACAUGCAAGUCGAACGGAAAGGCCCUGAUCUUGCGGCGUGCUCGAGUGGCGAACGGGUGAGUAACACGCGAGUAACAUGUACUUGACAUUGGGAUAACUUCAGGAAACUCGGGCUCAUAUAGCAUAGGAGCUCUUGCAGCAUGGUGGGGGUUGGAAAGUUUCGGCGGUUGGGGAUGGACUCGCGGGUUAACCGCCUGUUGGUGGGGUAGUGGAUUACAAAGGUUUCGACGGAUAGGCGGCCUGAGAGGGUGACCAGCCACAAUGGAACUACGAUACGGCCCAGUCGCCUACGUGAGGCAACAGGCGGGAGUAUGACGCAAUAGGGGGAAGCCAGAUGCAGCAGCGCCGGGUGCGGGAUAACGUCCUUCGAGGUAUAAACCGCUUUCGCCUUAGACGAGGCGUGAGUGACGGUAAUGAGUAAGAAAGCACCGGCUAACUACGUG